AUGGUCGAUUCCCCCUCCGGCAGAGUGCCGGCGAAGGCUCCAAGAUGGGAUCUCACGGAUACAGAAGGUUACGGUGGUGGAAAUUGUGUUUCGUGGUGCUCCUGGAUGUUUUCGGUGUCCGUAGGUAUAUAUAGGAGGAAGAAGUACGUCGGUGGACGCCCGAGGGGCCCACGAGACAGGGGGCGCGCCCUACAGGGGGGGGGGGGCGCCCUCCUAUCUCGUGGGAGCCUCGGGAGCUUCUUGACUUGCACUCCAAGCUGUCCGUAUCAGAUUUGUUCCAAAAAUAAUGCUCCCGAAGGUUUCACUCCGUUUGGACUCCGUUUGAUAUUCCUUUUCUUCAAAAUACUGAAAUAG
Molecule: ribosomal RNA, 354 nt
Filed under: Triticum aestivum (bread wheat)
Lineage: Eukaryota; Viridiplantae; Streptophyta; Magnoliopsida; Poales; Poaceae
Description: partial small subunit ribosomal RNA
Source: RNAcentral